This 288-nucleotide long non-coding RNA is filed under the name Columba livia (rock pigeon). Its description in RNAcentral is "partial uncharacterized LOC102085286". Lineage: Eukaryota; Metazoa; Chordata; Aves; Columbiformes; Columbidae. The record is from RNAcentral.
GCGCUUUAGAAAGCACAAGAUCAAGGACCCAGGUGCUUAAGCAUGAAUUAGGAGUUUGUACUGAGACCUGAAGUCUGGAUCCAUUGUAGGACUCUAAUUCAGGAGAGUGAAGAAUGUGCUCCUGCCCUUGGUGACUUUUUAAGCAAAACUUCACAAGGCAGAUCAGUAGGUAUAUACAGAAGGAAGUCCUCCUUCCCCUCCCUGCAAAUCGACCCACAGAAAAGAGGCAAGUCAUUACACAGAUGUGUAAAUACGCUUCACUAACAUCCCACAUAAGUGCUUCAAUUU